This 468-nucleotide ribosomal RNA is filed under the name uncultured bacterium. RNAcentral describes it as "partial 16S ribosomal RNA". It matches the Rfam family "Bacterial small subunit ribosomal RNA", at positions 28 to 507 of the family's 1533-position model. The record is from RNAcentral.
GACGAACGCUGGCGGCGUGCUUAACACAUGCAAGUCGAACGGAAAGGCCCUGCUUUUGUGGGGUGCUCGAGUGGCGAACGGGUGAGUAACACGUGUGUAACCUGCCCUUGACUUUGGGAUAACUUCAGGAAACUGGGGCUAAUACCGGACAGGAGCUCCUGCUGCAUGGUGGGGGUUGGAAAUUUUCGGCGGUCGGGGAUGGACUCGCGGCUUAUCAGCUUGUUGGUUGGGUAGUGGCUUACCAAGGCUUUGACGGGUAGCCGGCCUGGGAGGGUGAACGGCGACAUUGGGACUGAGAUACGGCCCAGACUCCAACGGGAGGCAGCAGUGGGGAAUAUGGCACAAUGGGCGGAAGCCUGAUGCAGCAACGCCGCGUGCGGAAUGACGGCCUUCGGGUUGUAAACCGCUUUCGCCUGUGACGAAGCGUGAGUGACGGUAAUGGGUAAAGAAGCACCGGCUAACUACGUG